UUCUCUAGGCAAGAAUACUGAAGUGGUAACCUAGCCCUUCUCCAGGAGAUCCUCCCAACCCAGGAUUGGAACCGGGGUCUCCUGCAUUGCAGGUGGACUCUUUUCCAGAAGCAAUUCUGUUUCAAAUAGGAAGUGUAUCCUCUUUGGGUUCAGUUGUAGAAGCAACAAACUUACUGUGCCCUUGAUUUGCAUCUCUCUCAACUUUCACUUAUGGUGGGUCCCCUGGAAUCCAGUGCACAUGGACAGACAAACACCAUGUGUAAAUUGGGAGGUAAGGAGGCUCAGACCCAGGAAAGAAGGAAUGGUUUCCUCAUGAUUGCCCAGCUAGUUGGAAUCAGAAACCAGCUUUUGAUCCAGGUCUGAAGUAUUAAUUAUGACUCUCUGAAUGGACAUUGUACAGGAGACAGGGAUCAAGACCAUCCCCAUGGAAAAGAAAUGCAAAAAAGCAAAAUGGCUGUCUGGGGAGGCCUUACAAAUAGCUGUGAAAAGAAGAGAAGCGAAAAGCAAAGGAGAAAAGGGAAGAUAUAAACAUCUGAAUGCAGAGUUCCAAAGAAUAGCAAGAAGAGAUAAGAAAGCCUUCUUCAGUGAUCAAUGCAAAGAAAUAGAGGAAAAACACAGAAUGGGAAAGACUAGAGAUCUCUUCAAGAAAAUCAGAGGUACCAAAGGAACAUUUCAUGCAAAGAUGGGCUUGAUAAAGGACAGAAAUGUAUGGACCUAACAGAAGCAGAAGAUACUAAGAAGAGAUGGCAAGAAUACACAGAAGAACUGUACAAAAAAGAUCUUCACAACCCAGAUAAUCACGAUGGUGUGAUCACUGAGCUAGAGCCAGACAUCCUGGAAUGUGAAGUCAAGUGGGCC
Molecule: long non-coding RNA, 858 nt
Organism: Bos taurus (domestic cattle)
Lineage: Eukaryota; Metazoa; Chordata; Mammalia; Artiodactyla; Bovidae
Source: Ensembl